UUUAACCUACGGGGGGCAGCAGUGGGGAAUAUUGCACAAUGGGGGAAACCCUGAUGCAGCGACGCCGCGUGAGUGAAGAAGUCAUUCGUGAUGUAAAGCUCUAUCAGCAGGGAAGAAAAUGACGGUACCUGACUAAGAAGCCCCGGCUAACUACGUGCCAGCAGCCGCGGUAAUACGUAGGUGGCAAGCGUUGUCCGGAAUUACUGGGUGUAAAGGGAGCGCAGGCGGGAAGCCAAGUCAGCUGUGAAAACUACGGGCUUAACUUG
RNAcentral lists this ribosomal RNA (266 nucleotides) under uncultured bacterium. RNAcentral's name for it is "partial 16S ribosomal RNA". It matches the Rfam family "Bacterial small subunit ribosomal RNA", at positions 333 to 616 of the family's 1533-position model. The record is from RNAcentral.